Molecule: long non-coding RNA, 278 nt
Filed under: Gossypium raimondii (Peruvian cotton)
Lineage: Eukaryota; Viridiplantae; Streptophyta; Magnoliopsida; Malvales; Malvaceae
Description: long non-coding RNA (GRAI_LNC008692)
Source: RNAcentral
UCGAAUAAUAUUUCAGUUAACAAGUCAAGAGAGAGAGGAGUAACAGAGGCAAAUACCCGAACAGACUCAAAAUCAACCGACAAGCCAGCUAAGAUGACACUUAUCUGUUCUUGCUCAGAUAUAGGACUCCCAGCAGCAGUUAAGUCAUCACUAAGUUGUUUCACCUUAGCCACAUAAUCUUUAACAGAAAGAUUUGUUUUCUUUAGGGAAUAUAACGCAUGACGCAUGCUCGAGAUCUUUAAAGAGGACUUUGCACUAAAUCGUUUUUCAAUGGUGUU